RNAcentral lists this non-coding RNA (83 nucleotides) under uncultured Prevotella sp. RNAcentral describes it as "TPP riboswitch (THI element)". The stretch from base 5 to 72 matches the Rfam family "TPP riboswitch aptamer (THI element)", at positions 11 to 88 of the family's 105-position model. From Rfam's summary of the family: Vitamin B(1) in its active form thiamin pyrophosphate (TPP) is an essential coenzyme that is synthesised by coupling of pyrimidine and thiazole moieties in bacteria. The previously detected thiamin-regulatory element, thi box was extended, resulting in a new, highly conserved RNA secondary structure, the THI element, which is widely distributed in eubacteria and also occurs in some archaea. Analysis of operon structures identified a large number of new candidate thiamin-regulated genes, mostly transporters, in various prokaryotic organisms. The record is from RNAcentral. Lineage: Bacteria; Pseudomonadati; Bacteroidota; Bacteroidia; Bacteroidales; Prevotellaceae.
AUCACGGGGUGCUGAGUGAUUCAGCUGAGAUUAUACCCAUAGAACCUGAUGCGGAUAAUGCUGCCGAAGGGAAAAUGAUAUAA